RNAcentral lists this long non-coding RNA (354 nucleotides) under Panicum hallii. Its description in RNAcentral is "long non-coding RNA (PHAL_LNC000503)". The record is from RNAcentral. Lineage: Eukaryota; Viridiplantae; Streptophyta; Magnoliopsida; Poales; Poaceae.
ACUGGGCUGGCCGCGGCCACCGGCGAGACGCACGGGCGGCCGCAGACGACGCGCGGCCACCGCCUCGUAGUCUAGUAUUCCGUAUUCCAUCUUCGAUUGCAAGCGAUUCUCUUCCCUCUUUCUUGUUUACUGACUUCGAUUUCAUACUCAGAUGCAAGGAUUCAUCUAGAUCUUGCUUUCUCGUUCCUCUCUCUGCUUGCUUGUUUCCCUGUGAAUGACUCAUCCAAUGGAGCACACAACCUGUUUGCUAAUGUGCCUCCGAGGAUAACAAUUGGUUUCAUUUUUUGUGUGAAUUGAUUUUUGUCAUAUGUUUUGCUUCUCCUUGAUUUUGUAUCAACGUGAAACGUUCGCAUG